Molecule: small nuclear RNA, 23 nt
Filed under: Arabidopsis thaliana (thale cress)
Lineage: Eukaryota; Viridiplantae; Streptophyta; Magnoliopsida; Brassicales; Brassicaceae
Description: snRNA_04984
Source: RNAcentral
CCACCGAGCGGCGGGUAGAAUCC